This 24-nucleotide unclassified non-coding RNA is filed under the name Mus musculus (house mouse). RNAcentral describes it as "oocyte_clustered_small_RNA13342". Lineage: Eukaryota; Metazoa; Chordata; Mammalia; Rodentia; Muridae. The record is from RNAcentral.
AGGUAGUUCUGGGUCCUAUCUAGG